RNAcentral lists this ribosomal RNA (464 nucleotides) under uncultured bacterium. RNAcentral's name for it is "partial 16S ribosomal RNA". It matches the Rfam family "Bacterial small subunit ribosomal RNA", at positions 28 to 506 of the family's 1533-position model. The record is from RNAcentral.
GACGAACGCUGGCGGCGUGCUUAACACAUGCAAGUCGAACGGAAAGGCCCUGCUUGCAGGGUACUCGAGUGGCGAACGGGUGAGUAACACGUGGGUGAUCUGCCCUGCACUUCGGGAUAAGCCUGGGAAACUGGGUCUAAUACCGGAUAGGAGCCAUUUUUAGUGUGAUGGUUGGAAAGUUUUUUCGGUGUAGGAUGAGCUCGCGGCCUAUCAGCUUGUUGGUGGGGUAAUGGCCUACCAAGGCGGCGACGGGUAGCCGGCCUGAGAGGGUGGACGGCCACAUUGGGACUGAGAUACGGCCCAGACUCCUACGGGAGGCAGCAGUGGGGAAUAUUGCACAAUGGGCGCAAGCCUGAUGCAGCGACGCCGCGUGGGGGAUGACGGCCUUCGGGUUGUAAACUCCUUUCGCUAGGGACGAAGCUUUUUGUGACGGUACCUAGAUUAGAAGCACCGGCUAACUACGU